This 468-nucleotide ribosomal RNA is filed under the name uncultured bacterium. RNAcentral describes it as "partial 16S ribosomal RNA". It matches the Rfam family "Bacterial small subunit ribosomal RNA", at positions 28 to 507 of the family's 1533-position model. The record is from RNAcentral.
GACGAACGCUGGCGGCGUGCUUAACACAUGCAAGUCGAACGGAAAGGCCCUGCUUUUGUGGGGUGCUCGAGUGGCGAACGGGUGAGUAACACGUGAGUAACCUGCCCUUGACUUUGGGAUAACUUCAGGAAACUGGGGCUAAUACCGGAUAGGAGCUCCUGCUGCAUGGUGGGGGUUGGAAAGUUUCGGCGGUUGGGGAUGGACUCGCGGCUUAUCAGCUUGUUGGUGGGGUAGUGGCUUACCAAGGCUUUGACGGGUAGCCGGCCUGAGAGGGUGACCGGCCACAUUGGGACUGAGAUACGGACCAGACUCCUACGGGAGGCAGCAGUGGGGAAUAUUGCACAAUGGGCGGAAGCCUGAUGCAGCAACGCCGCGUGCGGGAUGACGGCCUUCGGGUUGUAAACCGCUUUCGCCUGUGACGAAGCGUGAGUGACGGUAAUGGGUAAAGAAGCACCGGCUAACUACGUG